UCAACGCUGGCGGCGUGCCUAACACAUGCAAGUCGAACGAGAAAGUGGAGCAAUCCAUGAGUACAGUGGCGUACGGGUGAGUAACACGUGACUAACCUACCCUCGAGUGGGGAAUAACCUCGGGAAACCGGGGCUAACACCGCAUAAUAUCUACGGAUCAAAUGCGAAAGCAGCUUGAGGAGGGGGUCGCGGCCGAUUAGCUAGUUGGUGAGGUAAUGGCUCACCAAGGCAAUGAUCGGUAGCCGGCCUGAGAGGGCGCACGGCCACACUGGAACUGAAACACGGUCCAGACCCCUACGGGAGGCAGCAGUGGGGAAUUUUGCGCAAUGGGGGAAACCCUGACGCAGCAACGCCGCGUGGAGGAUGAAGUCCCUUGGGACGUAAACUCCUUUCGAUCGGGACGAUUAUGACGGUACCGGAAGAAGAAGCCCCCGGCUAACUUCGUGCCAGCAGCCGCA
Molecule: ribosomal RNA, 458 nt
Filed under: uncultured bacterium
Lineage: Bacteria
Description: bacterial SSU rRNA
Rfam family: Bacterial small subunit ribosomal RNA
Source: RNAcentral